This 636-nucleotide ribosomal RNA is filed under the name Triticum aestivum (bread wheat). RNAcentral describes it as "partial small subunit ribosomal RNA". The record is from RNAcentral. Lineage: Eukaryota; Viridiplantae; Streptophyta; Magnoliopsida; Poales; Poaceae.
AUGGCUUCUUCUGGUUCCGUGACGAGGCCACCAUGUGCUAACCGCGAGGAUAUGCCGGACAAGUGGACAGACGCCGAGUUGGAUAAGGUGAAGGACAAAGAUAUGAGAACUCCAUCAUGUUGGUGUGGAGAUGUUUGCAAAGUUAAGGUAUCCACCGACCGCAAGAAAUCAUGGAUGGAAGGAAGAAGGUAUUUUGUUUGCCCCAACUAUGCCUACGAUCGUCCUCGUCCAGCUCACGCCUAUGAUGUACCGCCGGUAAGUUGUUCAAGUUCAAACAUGUCGUCAACCAUUGAAUCUAUCUUACUAAUGACACCACAUUUCUUCUUUAUUCGUUCUCCACUUUGUAAGUACUUCGCAUGGAUAGAUCAAGAUGUGCCAGAAGAUGUUAAGAAAGAUCAACAUCGAGAUUGUCUAAGGAGGCAGCGGUUGUUUGAAGAAGCAUUUCAGAGAGGCGUGGAUGAAGAGCGUCGUGAAAAGGAGAGGAUGGAGCGCAAGAAGCGUGAAGAGGAGAGGGCACGCAAGGAGAAGAUUGCUCGUCAAGAGGAGAGAGCAAGAAAGCUUGCAAGGGCUCGUGAAGCCCAAGAGGAGGAUGAGGCACACGACAAAAAAGGAAAAUGGCCUCGUGUGACCCAAUAA